UCGCUCCUACCGAUUGAGUGAUCCGGUGAAUAAUUCGGACUGCAGCGCUCUCAGUUCCUGAGCGUCGCUGCGGAAAGUUUAGUGAACCUUAUCACUUAGAGGAAGGAG
This 108-nucleotide ribosomal RNA is filed under the name uncultured eukaryote. RNAcentral describes it as "partial small subunit ribosomal RNA". It matches the Rfam family "Eukaryotic small subunit ribosomal RNA", at positions 1676 to 1785 of the family's 1831-position model. The record is from RNAcentral.